This is a long non-coding RNA of Aphis gossypii (cotton aphid), 652 nucleotides long. RefSeq lists it as uncharacterized. The record is from RefSeq and is a predicted model, not a curated record. NCBI's taxonomy places the organism in Eukaryota, Metazoa, Arthropoda, Insecta, Hemiptera, Aphididae. The transcript is spliced from 3 exons.
AAACAAUGGGAAAAAAAAAUAAGAUUCUCUGAUUGGGUGCGACCAAAUCAGUGUAGCAGCAUGCAUUAAAUUAAACUAUUGUUCAGAUGUUAUACAAUAUUAUUGUAUAUUUGUAUGUACCAUUUAAUACCAUUUAAUAUUUACCAUUUUAAAAUCUAUUUCCAUUUAAUAAAGAUCGUAAAUCGUAAUUGAUUAGGUAAUUAAUUAAUUAAUUAAUUUAAAUUAAUGAUUAAUGACAAGAUCCAUCUAUUUCAUUAUGAUAAAUGAUUAAUUGAUCUUGAUCAGCAAGUUAAUGCGUAAUGACAUGAAUCUGUUAAGGGCAAUAAUUAUUAUUGUUUAUUAUUUUAUUAGUUAACACAAGCUUUUCACAAUGAUGAUGAUGAAAUUAUACUUCACAUAAUAAAAAUAUUUAUUUUAAUAUUUGGACAUUGAUAUUUAAACAUAAAUGGAACAAAUGUAGUAUUGUACAAUUCAAUUAGUAAUUAGCUCAUAUUAAAAAAAAAGAUACUAAAUGUCUGUUUAAAAAUUUAAUUGAAGCAUAAAUUCUAAAACGCAAAAAAAAAUUGAGUAGAUAAUUUUUGUCAAAGUUGGGACAUGGAUGUUCAUAAUCAAUAUUGAGCAUUCUCAUUUUAAGUUUGUCGCCUAUUCCUAC